GUAGGUGAACCUGCGGAAGGAUCAUUAGCACUAUAAACGUCGAGUUCACGCUCUUCGUUUAUUAACCAACGCGAUCUCUUUUGGGUUCUUUGUGGGUGUAGAUCUGACUCUUGUGUCUGACUAUGCUUGAUGAACAUAAUGAGUAAAAGCCAUUGUAGUCCGGUUGCCAGCUGGAAACAGCUGCAGGUUGUGACUCUGGUGAUAUGAACAAUAUCCUCGUUAUUGGAUUCGCAUAUGCAACCAAGGGGCA
RNAcentral lists this unclassified non-coding RNA (250 nucleotides) under plant metagenome. Its description in RNAcentral is "partial contains small subunit ribosomal RNA, internal transcribed spacer 1, and 5.8S ribosomal RNA". The record is from RNAcentral.